GAUGAACGCUGGCGGCGUGCCUAAUACAUGCAAGUCGAGCGAACGGACGAGAAUCUUGCUUCUCUGAUGUUAGCGGCGGACGGGUGAGUAACACGUGGAUAACCUACCUAUAAGACUGGGAUAACUUCGGGAAACCGGAGCUAAUACCGGAUAAUAUUUUGCACCGCAUGGUUCAAAAGUAAAAGACGGUCUUGCUGUCACUUAUAGAUGGAUCCGCGCUGCAUUAGCUAGUUGGUAAGGUAACGGCUUACCAAGGCAACGAUGCAUAGCCGACCUGAGAGGGUGAUCGGCCACACUGGAACUGAGACACGGUCCAGACUCCUACGGGAGGCAGCAGUAGGGAAUCUUCCGCAAUAGGCGAAAGCCUGACGGAGCAACGCCGCGUGAGUGAUGAAGGUCUUCGGAUCGUAAAACUCUGUUAUUAGGGAAGAACAUAUGUGUAAGUAACUGUGCACAUCUUGACGGUACCUAAUCAGAAAGCCACGGCUAACUACGUG
Molecule: ribosomal RNA, 497 nt
Filed under: uncultured bacterium
Lineage: Bacteria
Description: partial 16S ribosomal RNA
Rfam family: Bacterial small subunit ribosomal RNA
Source: RNAcentral